RNAcentral lists this ribosomal RNA (603 nucleotides) under uncultured Meliniomyces. Its description in RNAcentral is "eukaryotic LSU rRNA". The stretch from base 240 to 393 matches the Rfam family "5.8S ribosomal RNA". The record is from RNAcentral. Lineage: Eukaryota; Fungi; Ascomycota; Leotiomycetes; Helotiales; Helotiaceae.
GUCAUUUAGAGGAAGUAAAAGUCGUAACAAGGUUUCCGUAGGUGAACCUGCGGAAGGAUCAUUAAAAAAAGAGAAACGUCCCGUUUUUUUCAUAAGAAUGGGUUCUAUUCCCUUAAACCGUGUCUACAUACCUUUGUUGCUUUGGCAGGCCGCCUUCGGGCGUCGGCUCCGGCUGAUAGUGCCUGCCAGAGGACCCAAACUCUAUGCUUAGUGAUGUCUGAGUACUAUAUAAUAUUUAAAACUUUCAACAACGGAUCUCUUGGUUCUGGCAUCGAUGAAGAACGCAGCGAAAUGCGAUAAGUAAUGUGAAUUGCAGAAUUCAGUGAAUCAUCGAAUCUUUGAACGCACAUUGCGCCCCUUGGUAUUCCGAGGGGCAUGCCUGUUCGAGCGUCAUUAUAACCACUCAAGCCUGGCUUGGUAUUGGGGUUUUCGCGUGUUCGCGGCCCUUAAAAUCAGUGGCGGUGCCGUCUGGCUCUAAGCGUAGUAAUUUCUCUCGCUAUAGGGUUCCGGUGGUUACUUGCCAAAACCCCCCUAUUUUUUCUAGGUUGACCUCGGAUCAGGUAGGGAUACCCGCUGAACUUAAGCAUAUCAAUAAGCGGAGGA